Molecule: small nuclear RNA, 294 nt
Filed under: Neotoma lepida (desert woodrat)
Lineage: Eukaryota; Metazoa; Chordata; Mammalia; Rodentia; Cricetidae
Description: 7SK RNA
Rfam family: 7SK RNA (bases 2-241)
About the family: 7SK was discovered as an abundant small nuclear RNA in the mid-70s but a possible function has only recently been suggested. Two independent studies have found that 7SK RNA binds the CDK9/cyclin T complex (known as elongation factor P-TEFb). P-TEFb activates transcription by phosphorylating the C-terminal domain of RNA polymerase II.
Source: Rfam by way of RNAcentral
CAGGAUGAGGGCGGUCUGGCUGAGACAUCUGUCUGUCUCCCCACUGAUUGCCAGGGUGAUCUUGCUGAUCAGGCUGGCUAAGCAGGUGCCCUCUUACUCCUUCACAGCCUCAUGCCUGUCCUUCCUAAAGUUGUAUGCUUUCUCCUACCCCAGAGAUAAGCACCAGAACUGUUUUAGCUGCACUCCCCUGCUAGAAGCUCCAAAAAAGCUCUCAAAGACGUGGGCUGGGGCUAUAGCUCGGGGGUAAAACGUUAAAGCACUUGCCUAGCGUGUACCUAAGGCCCUAGGUUUAAU